CGAGCGGCGAACGGGUGAGUAACACGUGGGUAACCUGCCCUGUACUCUGGGAUAAGCCUGGGAAACUAGGUCUAAUACCGGAUAUGACCUGCCUCCGCAUGGUGGUGGGUGGAAAGUUCCGGCGGUACAGGAUGGACCCGCGGCCUAUCAGCUUGUUGGUGGGGUAAUGGCCUACCAAGGCGACGACGGGUAGCCGGCCUGAGAGGGUGACCGGCCACACUGGGACUGAGACACGGCCCAGACUCCUACGGGAGGCAGCAGUGGGGAAUAUUGCACAAUGGGCGAAAGCCUGAUGCAGCGACGCCGCGUGAGGGAUGACGGCCUUCGGGUUGUAAACCUCUUUCAGCGGGGACGAAGGGUGACUGACGGUACCCGCAGAAGAAGCACCGGCUAACUACGUGCCAGCAGCCGCGGUAAUACGUAGGGUGCGAGCGUUGUCCGGAAUUAUUGGGCGUAAAGAGCUCGUAGGCGGUUUGUUGCGUCGGCUGUGAAAACUUCACGCUUAACGUGGAGCCUGCAGUCGAUACGGGCAGACUUGAGUUCGGCAGGGGAGACUGGAAUUCCUGGUGUAGCGGUGAAAUGCGCAGAUAUCAGGAGGAACACCGGUGGCGAAGGCGGGUCUCUGGGCCGAUACUGACGC
RNAcentral lists this ribosomal RNA (640 nucleotides) under Saccharothrix sp. I11A-00774. RNAcentral's name for it is "bacterial SSU rRNA". It matches the Rfam family "Bacterial small subunit ribosomal RNA", at positions 92 to 746 of the family's 1533-position model. The record is from RNAcentral. Lineage: Bacteria; Bacillati; Actinomycetota; Actinomycetes; Pseudonocardiales; Pseudonocardiaceae.